UCAACACAUCGUUUCUGCCCUGCCUUCUGUG
RNAcentral lists this non-coding RNA (31 nucleotides) under Mus musculus (house mouse). Lineage: Eukaryota; Metazoa; Chordata; Mammalia; Rodentia; Muridae. The record is from RNAcentral.